This 371-nucleotide ribosomal RNA is filed under the name Sinorhizobium kostiense. RNAcentral describes it as "partial 23S ribosomal RNA". It matches the Rfam family "Bacterial large subunit ribosomal RNA", at positions 1 to 218 of the family's 2925-position model. Lineage: Bacteria; Pseudomonadati; Pseudomonadota; Alphaproteobacteria; Hyphomicrobiales; Rhizobiaceae. The record is from RNAcentral.
GAUCAAGUGUCAAAAGGGCAUUUGGUGGAUGCCUUGGCAUGCACAGGCGAUGAAGGACGUGAUACGCUGCGAUAAGCCGUGGGGAGCUGCGAAUGAGCUUUGAUCCAUGGAUCUCCGAAUGGGGCAACCCACCUUAGAUGCUUGGAAAAUCAUUUUGGUUGGUGUUUGGCUGAACGAAGCGAAGCUUCGCAAGGCCAGAGGCCGUCGCGCACGUUUGCGCGCCCCAGCGGAGCGUCAGCUCCGAAGGAGCGUCAGGCGCGUGAGCGAGAACCAAAGUGGUUUCCAAGCAUUGUUGAAAGGUAUCUUAUCCUGAAUUCAAUAGGGAUAAGAAGCGAACGCAGGGAACUGAAACAUCUAAGUACCUGCAGGAA